This 427-nucleotide ribosomal RNA is filed under the name uncultured bacterium. Its description in RNAcentral is "partial 16S ribosomal RNA". It matches the Rfam family "Bacterial small subunit ribosomal RNA", at positions 355 to 774 of the family's 1533-position model. The record is from RNAcentral.
UGGGGAAUAUUGCACAAUGGGCGCAAGCCUGAUGCAGCCAUGCCGCGUGUAUGAAGAAGGCCUUCGGGUUGUAAAGUACUUUCAGCGAGGAGGAAGGCGGUAAGGUUAAUAACCUUAUCGAUUGACGUUACUCGCAGAAGAAGCACCGGCUAACUCCGUGCCAGCAGCCGCGGUAAUACGGAGGGUGCAAGCGUUAAUCGGAAUUACUGGGCGUAAAGCGCACGCAGGCGGUCUGUCACGUCGGAUGUGAAAUCCCCGGGCUCAACCUGGGAACUGCAUUCGAAACUGGCAGGCCAGAGUCUUGUAGAGGGGGGUAGAAUUCCAGGUGUAGCGGUGAAAUGCGUAGAGAUCUGGAGGAAUACCGGUGGCGAAGGCGGCCCCCUGGACAAAGACUGACGCUCAGGUGCGAAAGCGUGGGGAGCAAACA